Molecule: long non-coding RNA, 682 nt
Filed under: Equus asinus (donkey)
Lineage: Eukaryota; Metazoa; Chordata; Mammalia; Perissodactyla; Equidae
Description: lncRNA (ENSEASG00005034540.1)
Source: RNAcentral
UGGAGGAUCCAAUGAAAACCAGCAGGAUUCAGCAGGGGAUGCUGGAAGGCAGGGCUCAGCCAGGCCUGGUGGCCAGAAGACAGAGACAGUGGCCUUUCCGGCAGGACAGUCUCAAGGUAGUUGAACGUCUUACCUGGCAGCUCAGGGCUACCAGAGAGAGACCAGAAUGGUUACGUAAUCUCCCAGAGCAAGCCACUGGAGUCAGCCAGGACUCAGGGUGGGGAACUGGACUUUACUUCUCAACAGGUAGAGAGUGAAGAGUGUGAGGCUGACUCAUCUUUACACACCCAGACCAACUGACGGAGCGCCUGGGCACAGCAGCCACCCCUAGAUUGUCUACAUCUGCAAUGCUAUGGCCGGACAGAUGGCAUUCACUCCUGCGUGGGCUCUGGUCCUCGGCCCGUGGAAGAUGAAUCCCAAUCCCCAGAACAUUAGUGGGUGUUGGUAAAAGUACCACGGAUCAAUGUGAAAGUCUGGCUGUUACUGCUCCUUUUGCUCAUCAGACGAGGAGAGGCGGAGGGGUGGACAGGUCUCGCCUGCAUCCGGUGCCACCUCCUUGGAUACCAGGUCCACCCAGGCCCCCUGCUCCCAGGCCGCGGGAACACUUCCUGCUCAGCUAGGAGGAGCCCCAAGCAGGUCAUCCCUGCCUGGGGAGGGGACGGACAGAGAUGGGGUGGGGGUG